GGGAGGUAAAUUUCUUCUAAAGCUAAAUACUGGCCAGAGACCGAUAGCGCACAAGUAGAGUGAUCGAAAGAUGAAAAGCACUUUGGAAAGAGAGUCAAAAAGCACGUGAAAUUGUUGAAAGGGAAGCGCUUGCAGCCAGACUUGCCUGCGGUUGCUCAUCCGGGCUCUUGCCCGGUGCACUCUUCCGUAGGCAGGCCAGCAUCAGUUUGGGCGGCUGGAUAAAGGCCUCUGUCAUGUACCUUCCCUCGGGAAGGCCUUAUAGGGGAGGCGUAAUGCAGCCAGCCUGGACUGAGGUCCGCGCAUUUGCUAGGAUGCUGGCGUAAUGGCUGUAAGCGGCCCGUCUUGAAACACGGAC
RNAcentral lists this small RNA (355 nucleotides) under Medicopsis romeroi. RNAcentral describes it as "eukaryotic LSU rRNA". It matches the Rfam family "Eukaryotic large subunit ribosomal RNA", at positions 294 to 666 of the family's 3401-position model. The record is from RNAcentral. Lineage: Eukaryota; Fungi; Ascomycota; Dothideomycetes; Pleosporales; Neohendersoniaceae.